Molecule: ribosomal RNA, 468 nt
Filed under: uncultured bacterium
Lineage: Bacteria
Description: partial 16S ribosomal RNA
Rfam family: Bacterial small subunit ribosomal RNA
Source: RNAcentral
GACGAACGCUGGCGGCGUGCUUAACACAUGCAAGUCGAACGGAAAGGCCCUGCUUUUGUGGGGUGCUCGAGUGGCGAACGGGUGAGUAAUACGUGAGUAACCUGCCCUUGACUUUGGGAUAACUUCAGGAAACUGGGGCUAAUACCGGAUAGGAGCUCCUGCUGCAUGGUGGGGGUUGGAAAGUUUCGGCGGUUGGGGAUGGACUCGCGGCUUAUCAGCUUGUUGGUGGGGUAGUGGCUUACCAAGGCUUUGACGGGUAGCCGGCCUGAGAGGGUGACCGGCCACAGUGGGACUGAGAUACGGACCAGACUCCUACGGGAGGCAGCAGUGGGGAAUAUUGCACAAUGGGCGGAAGCCUGAUGCAGCAACGCCGCGUGCGGGAUGACGGCCUUCGGGUUGUAAACCGCUUUCGCCUGUGACGAAGCGUGAGUGACGGUAAUGGGUAAAGAAGCACCGGCUAACUACGUG